GGAUCGAUGAUGACCACCAAAAUGCUUCCUUGGAAACUGAACAGAAUGAUUGAGAAACCCUUACGUCUCCUCAUCGUAACUGACGGUCC
Molecule: small nucleolar RNA, 89 nt
Filed under: Tursiops truncatus (common bottlenose dolphin)
Lineage: Eukaryota; Metazoa; Chordata; Mammalia; Artiodactyla; Delphinidae
Description: Small nucleolar RNA SNORD116 (ENSTTRG00000024625.1)
Rfam family: Small nucleolar RNA SNORD116
About the family: HBII-85 is a member of the C/D class of snoRNAs, which contain the C (UGAUGA) and D (CUGA) box motifs. HBII-85 is encoded in a tandemly repeated array with another C/D snoRNA, HBII-52, in the Prader-Willi syndrome (PWS) region of chromosome 15. Unlike most other snoRNAs, HBII-85 is expressed prevalently in the brain (but is absent in PWS patients) and lacks any significant complementarity with ribosomal RNA.
Source: RNAcentral